UACGGAGGGUGCAAGCGUUAUCCGGAUUUACUGGGUUUAAAGGGUGUGUAGGCGGGCUAUUAAGUCAGUGGUGAAAUCUCCGAGCUUAACUUGGAAACUGCCAUUGAUACUAUUAGUCUUGAAUUUUGUUGAGGUAGGCGGAAUAAGUCAUGUAGCGGUGAAAUGCUUAGAUAUGACUUAGGACACCAAUUGCGAAGGCAGCUUGCUAAACAAACAUUGACGCUGAGGCACGAAAGCGUGGGGAUCAAACAGG
RNAcentral lists this ribosomal RNA (253 nucleotides) under uncultured bacterium. RNAcentral describes it as "partial 16S ribosomal RNA". It matches the Rfam family "Bacterial small subunit ribosomal RNA", at positions 524 to 776 of the family's 1533-position model. The record is from RNAcentral.